GAUGAACGCUGGCGGCGUGCCUAAUACAUGCAAGUCGAGCGAACGGACGAGAAGCUUGCUUCUCUGAUGUUAGCGGCGGACGGGUGAGUAACACGUGGAUAACCUACCUAUAAGACUGGGAUAACUUCGGGAAACCGGAGCUAAUACCGGAUAAUAUUUUGAACCGCAUGGUUCAAAAGUGAAAGACGGUCUUGCUGUCACUUAUAGAUGGAUCCGCGCUGCAUUAGCUAGUUGGUAAGGUAACGGCUUACCAAGGCAACGAUGCAUAGCCGACCUGAGAGGGUGAGCGGCCACGCUGGAACUGAGACACGGUCCAGACUCCUACGGGAGGCAGCAGUAGGGAAUCUUCCGCGAUGGGCGAAAGCCUGACGGAGCAACGCCGCGUGAGUGAUGAAGGUCUUCGGAUCGUAAAACUCUGUUACUAGGGAAGAACAUAUGUGUAAGUAACUGUGCACAUCUUGACGGUACCUAAUCAGAAAGCCACGGCUAACUACGUG
This 497-nucleotide ribosomal RNA is filed under the name uncultured bacterium. RNAcentral's name for it is "partial 16S ribosomal RNA". It matches the Rfam family "Bacterial small subunit ribosomal RNA", at positions 28 to 507 of the family's 1533-position model. The record is from RNAcentral.